Molecule: transfer RNA, 73 nt
Filed under: Nitrospina sp.
Lineage: Bacteria; Pseudomonadati; Nitrospinota; Nitrospinia; Nitrospinales; Nitrospinaceae
Also listed under: 1 other name
Description: tRNA-Lys
Rfam family: tRNA
About the family: Transfer RNA (tRNA) molecules are approximately 80 nucleotides in length.
Source: RNAcentral
GGGCCGUUAGCUCAAUUGGUAGAGCAACUGACUCUUAAUCAGUAGGUCCUCGGUUCGAUCCCGAGACGGCCCA